This 597-nucleotide ribosomal RNA is filed under the name Stagonospora sp. RNAcentral describes it as "partial large subunit ribosomal RNA". It matches the Rfam family "Eukaryotic large subunit ribosomal RNA", at positions 40 to 650 of the family's 3401-position model. Lineage: Eukaryota; Fungi; Ascomycota; Dothideomycetes; Pleosporales; Massarinaceae. The record is from RNAcentral.
AUAUCAAUAAGCGGAGGAAAAGAAACCAACUGGGAUUGCCCUAGUAACGGCGAGUGAAGCGGCAAUAGCUCAAAUUUGAAAUCUGGCUCCUUUUAGGGGUCCGAGUUGUAAUUUGCAGAGGGUGCUUUGGCGUUGGUAGCGGUCUAAGUUCCUUGGAACAGGACAUCGCAGAGGGUGAGAAUCCCGUUUGUGGUCGCAUGCCUUCGCCGUGUAAAGCCCCUUCGACGAGUCGAGUUGUUUGGGAAUGCAGCUCUAAAUGGGAGGUAAAUUUCUUCUAAAGCUAAAUACUGGCCAGAGACCGAUAGCGCACAAGUAGAGUGAUCGAAAGAUGAAAAGCACUUUGGAAAGAGAGUCAAACAGCACGUGAAAUUGUUGAAAGGGAAGCGCUUGCAGUCAGACUUGCCCGUAGUUGCUCACCUAGGCUUUUGCCUGGGGCAUUCUUCUGCGGGCAGGCCAGCAUCAGUUUGGGCGGUCGGAUAAAGGUCUCUGUCAUGUAGCUUCCUUCGGGAAGAACUUAUAGGGGAGGCGAAAUGCGACCAGCCCGGACUGAGGUCCGCGCUUCUGCUAGGAUGCUGGCGUAAUGGCUGUAAGCGGCCC